UAGUCCACGCCGUAAACGAUGAACACUUGGUGUUGGAGGUAUUGACCCCUUCAGUGCCGGAGCUAACGCGUUAAGUGUUCCGCCUGGGGAGUACGGUCGCAAGAUUAAAACUCAAAGAAAUUGACGGGGGCCCGCGCAAGCGGUGGAGCAUGUGGUUUAAUUCGAUGCAACGCGAAGAACCUUACCUGGACUUAACAUCCCAGUGACAGCCAUAGAGAUAUGGUUUUCCUUCGGGACACUGGUGAUAGGUGCUGCAUGGCUGUCGUCAGCUCGUGUCGUGAGAUGUUGGGUUAAGUCCCGCAACGAGCGCAACCCUUACCUUUAGUUGCCAGCAUUAAGUUGGGCACUCUAGAGGGACUGCCGACGUUAAGUCGGAGGAAGGUGGGGAUGACGUCAAGUCCUCAUGGCCUUUAUGUCCAGGGGCUACACACGUGCUACAAUGGGUCAGUACAAUGGGGUCGCAAGUCCGCGAGGCCAAGCUAAUCCCAAAAAACUGAUCUAAGUUCGGGAUUGGGAGUCUGC
Molecule: ribosomal RNA, 522 nt
Filed under: uncultured bacterium
Lineage: Bacteria
Description: bacterial SSU rRNA
Rfam family: Bacterial small subunit ribosomal RNA
Source: RNAcentral